Molecule: ribosomal RNA, 186 nt
Filed under: uncultured bacterium
Lineage: Bacteria
Description: partial 16S ribosomal RNA
Rfam family: Bacterial small subunit ribosomal RNA
Source: RNAcentral
AGGCAGCAGUGGGGAAUAUUGCACAAUGGGCGCAAGCCUGAUGCAGCCAUGCCGCGUGUGUGAAGAAGGCCUUCGGGUUGUAAAGCACUUUCAGCGAGGAGGAAGGCGUUGUAGUUAAUAGCUGCAGCGAUUGACGUUACUCGCAGAAGAAGCACCGGCUAACUCCGUGCCAGCAGCCGCGGUAAU